Monomorium pharaonis (pharaoh ant) is the source of this 407-nucleotide long non-coding RNA. RefSeq lists it as uncharacterized. The record is from RefSeq and is a predicted model, not a curated record. Lineage: Eukaryota; Metazoa; Arthropoda; Insecta; Hymenoptera; Formicidae. The transcript is spliced from 2 exons.
CAUCUUAAGACAGUUAAGAUGAUCUUAAAUAUAAGAUCCGACUAUGAAUACUGGCCUUAGAGGUUAUAUAUAAUAUAUAAUGCAAUAUAAUUUACAAUAUCCACAUGGACGUCACGAUAGGAUGGCAAUAUUCAGCGCUAUUUGUAUUUUUUAAAGCUAUAAUUUUAUUCAUUGCUGUAUCAAAAUUUUAUAAUUUUUUAUCUUUUUUCACAGUAUAUUAAUAUAUAUAAUUUAAAAAUACACUUUUAUACAUAUCACAACUUAAUGAAAAAAGCAAUAAUCUUAUGCAAUUAUUUGUAUGCAUUCUAGAUAGAUUUUCUAUAAAAUAACAUUCCGUAAAACGGAUAAUAAUCUAUCUAGUAUCGCGCUUUCAUGUAGCUCCCACACAAUAAAUAAGCACAAUUAUA